Molecule: ribosomal RNA, 320 nt
Filed under: uncultured bacterium
Lineage: Bacteria
Description: bacterial SSU rRNA
Rfam family: Bacterial small subunit ribosomal RNA
Source: RNAcentral
AUUGAACGCUGGCGGCAGGCCGAACACAUGCAAGUCGAGCGGAAACGACACUAACAAUCCUUCGGGUGCGUUAAUGGGCGUCGAGCGGCGGACGGGUGAGUAACGCGUAGGAAUCUACCGAGUAGUGGGGGACAACCAGUGGAAACGAUGGCUAAUACCGCAUAAUGCCUACGGGCCAAAGAGGGGGAUCUUCGGACCUCUCGCCUCAAGAUAUGCCUAGGUGGGAUUAGCUAGUUGGUGAGGUAAUGGCUCACCAAGGCGACGAUCCCUAGCUGGUCUGAGAGGAUGAUCAGCCACACUGGAACUGAGACACGGUCCAG